Molecule: long non-coding RNA, 1985 nt
Filed under: Homo sapiens (human)
Lineage: Eukaryota; Metazoa; Chordata; Mammalia; Primates; Hominidae
Description: Pvt1 oncogene
Rfam family: Pvt1 oncogene conserved region 7 (bases 1572-1708)
Source: RNAcentral
UUUUUUUUUUUUGUUUGUUUGUUUUUUGAUACAGAGUUUCACUCUUGUUGCCUAGGGUGGAGUACAAUGGCGUGAUCUCAGCUCACCACAAGCUCUGCCUCCCGGGGUCAAGCGAUUCUCCCCAGUAGCUGAGAUUACAGGCAUGCGCCACCACGUCCGGCUAAUUUUGUAUUUUUAGUAGUGAUGGGGUUUCUCCGUGUUGGUCAGGCUGGUCUCGAACUCCUGACCUCAGGUGAUCCGUCUGCCUCAGCCUCCCAAAGUGCUGGGAUUACAGGAGUGAGCCACCGAGCCUGGCCGCUUCCGGUCUUUGGAUUUGAUUUUCCUCAAGUGUAAUUGAAAGCAGGGGCCUGGAUGGCCGCCAUAGUCCCUCCCAGCUUCGACAUUACACAUUCCUGCCAAUCCAUUUUUCAGGCUGAUAACAUUGUUCAGAGUUUAAUGGGAGCAGGGUAAGAUAGUCACCGUGUGGAGCAAAAAUUGAAGGAAAUAUUCCAGAUGUCAUGAUUUUUUACCUGUAGCCCCUCUGCUGCCACACCCUUGUGCACAUCCUCCAGACACUUUUAAAGAAUAAACUCUAUUUUCAGAAGAGUUUUAGAUUUACAGGAGAAUUGUGAAAACAGUUCAAAAAGUUCUCAUAUACCCUGCUCCCAGUUUUCCCUGUUACUAACGCUUUGCAUUAGUGUGGCACAUUUGCCACAAUUAAUGGACCAAUAUUGAUACAUUAUUAUUUACUGAAGUUGAAACAUUACUUUAGUUUUUACCUGGUCCAGGAUCCCAUCUGGGAUCCCACAUCACAUUUAGUGAUCAUGUCUUCUUAGAUUGCCCUGGGCUGUGCCGCUUUCUCAGACUCUCCUGGUUUGUGAUGACAUUGACAGUCUUGAGUUUUGAUGACCAGUUUUGACUGGUCAGGUAUUUCAUAGAACGUACCUCUGUGAGGGUUGUCUGAUUCUUCUUCUUAUUAGAUUGGGAUUAUGGAGGAAGGCCACAGAGGUAAAGUUCCGCUUUUAUGAAAUCAAGGGUAGGCACCAUCAGCAUGACCUAUCACUGAUGUUGACUUUGAUUACCUGGCUGCUGUAGUGGUUGUCAGGUUUGUCCACUUUAAAGAUACUUUUGUGUUUUUGUUCUUUCUUAACUCCCUUUUUAUAUUAAACUCUUCAGAAGGAAGUCACUGUGCAUAGCCAUCCCCUAAGAAGAGGGCAUUCCUGCUCUUCCUUCUCCAUGGCUAGAGGAUCUACAUGAACUAUUUAGAUUUUUUCUACCUGGGAGAUUUAACUCCUCUCUCCUAUUUAUUUAUUUAUAUAUCAGCAUGGACUUGCAGGCCAACAGAGAUUUUGAGAAACACAUUGAAGGAUCUGUUAACACUUGAUAUACCCAAUAAAAGCAGUGGUUGUGCCAGUGCUGAUCUGUCUUGAUGUGAAUGUGAACAAUGGGAACCUGAGCUGAGCAGUUAAUGCUAGGGUGACAGAAACUGGACCUCUCCCAAGACAUGUGACAGAGUAAUACAGCAGCCAACUUCUUCGCCAAAUUAAAGUUUUACAAGAUUUAACCUGUCAUCAAGACCUGGGAUUUUGGUGAAGGACAGAAUAACGGGCUCCCAGAUUCACAAGCCCCACCAAGAGGAUCACCCCAGGAACGCUUGGAGGCUGAGGAGUUCACUGAGGCUACUGCAUCUUGAGACUCAGGAUGAAGACCCAGCUUGGGGCUGUCAAAGGUUUUUUGCAUGUCUGACACCCAUGACUCCACCUGGACCUUAUGGCUCCACCCAGAAGCAAUUCAGCCCAACAGGAGGACAGCUUCAACCCAUUACGAUUUCAUCUCUGCCCCAACCACUCAGCAGCAAGCACCUGUUACCUGUCCACCCCCACCCCUUCCCCCAAACUGCCUUUGAAAAAUCCCUAACCUAUGAGCUUUGAAUAAGAUGAGUACGAACUUCAUCGCCCACGUGGCGUGGCCGGCCUCGUGUCUAUUAAAUUCUUUUUCUACUACAA